Molecule: ribosomal RNA, 590 nt
Filed under: Diaporthe eres
Lineage: Eukaryota; Fungi; Ascomycota; Sordariomycetes; Diaporthales; Diaporthaceae
Description: eukaryotic LSU rRNA
Rfam family: 5.8S ribosomal RNA (bases 222-375)
Source: RNAcentral
GUCGUAACAAGGUCUCCGUUGGUGAACCAGCGGAGGGAUCAUUGCUGGAACGCGCCCCAGGCGCACCCAGAAACCCUUUGUGAACUUAUACCUUACUGUUGCCUCGGCGCUAGCUGGUCCUUCGGGGCCCCUCACCCCCGGGUGUUGAGACAGCCCGCCGGCGGCCAACCCAACUCUUGUUUUUACACUGAAACUCUGAGAAUAAAACAUAAAUGAAUCAAAACUUUCAACAACGGAUCUCUUGGUUCUGGCAUCGAUGAAGAACGCAGCGAAAUGCGAUAAGUAAUGUGAAUUGCAGAAUUCAGUGAAUCAUCGAAUCUUUGAACGCACAUUGCGCCCUCUGGUAUUCCGGAGGGCAUGCCUGUUCGAGCGUCAUUUCAACCCUCAAGCCUGGCUUGGUGAUGGGGCACUGCUUCUUACCCAAGGAGCAGGCCCUGAAAUUCAGUGGCGAGCUCGCCAGGACCCCGAGCGCAGUAGUUAAACCCUCGCUCUGGAAGGCCCUGGCGGUGCCCUGCCGUUAAACCCCCAACUUCUGAAAAUUUGACCUCGGAUCAGGUAGGAAUACCCGCUGAACUUAAGCAUAUCAAUAA